This is a non-coding RNA of Microcebus murinus (gray mouse lemur), 2168 nucleotides long. NCBI's taxonomy places the organism in Eukaryota, Metazoa, Chordata, Mammalia, Primates, Cheirogaleidae. The record is from RefSeq and is a predicted model, not a curated record.
CUGCUGUUUUCUCCUUGUGUCCUCACAUGGUGGAGAGCAAAGGGAGAGAGAAGGCCCUACUCCCAUUUAUGAGAACUCCAUCUCCUAAAGGCCCCACCUCCUAAUAUCAUCACAUUGAAAUUUAGCGGAGAUAUAAAGAGGAGGAAAACCUUUCAAAAUACACAGCUUAAAGAAGAUGACCAGGCAGAAAUGUCAGCAAUGCCAAGACUGGUGUCACACUAUGGAAGGGUGUACAGAGAAAAGAAUGUUCAGUUUCAGAAAAAUACAUUCAUGGGAGGAGAUAGAACUUAGGGUGACAGAGGCAAUAUUAUGUGACCCAGCGAGGAAGGCAGACACUUGUUGGAAUGCUGACCUGAACUCGAGGUCUGAAAGGGUUUCUGGGGAAGUGGCAUGCUAUUUUCUACUGAAGUCAUAUUUUCAGCAUGAAGCCAUCUUCACCUUCUCCAGUCUGCGAGAGUUCUCCCUACUCUAUGCUCACCAAACAUAGACCAAGGUCUUGAGAAGCUUUUAUGCCCUAACCACUAUGUAUAUAUUGUCUACCCUAAGAAAAGGGCUAUGGAAGAGACUUCAAGAUGCUCAGCCAAUAUCCAGUUGCUUGCCUAGCUAAAAGCUAGCUUUUCCAACUUCCCUUGCAUCUAGGAAAUUUACAUGGAGAAGGUAGGUGAGCAAAACCAUAAGGAAUCUGGAUUUAAAACAUGGCGGAGAUGCCAUAUCAGCCCUGGAGAGGUUAUGCUUAGACAAUCCCAGAGGGAAGACAGGGAAUAAAAGAAUCUUUUACCUCAUUUAAGUCAAGGUUAUUUUGUCCUUUGUUACAGCAGUCCAACUGGCAUCCUAGGUGGCAUUUUUGGAAGGUACAGAGCAGAAUUAAACAUGGUUUCAACUCUAGUAUGUUCUGGAAUGGGAUAUAUGAUAUAUAUUACAUACAUAAUUUUAAAAUAUAUAUAACAGAUAAUUAUGUUGCCUUUCUAUCAAGCAAAUUUGAACAUAUAUGUAUAACAUACUGCAAAUGUGUAUAUGAGAUCACUGAUUACCCACAAAGAGCUUUAAAACCUAUGAUCAUUAUAAAUUAUAUGGCCACACACACACUUGAAGUAUAUAUGUUAGAAAUAUUGUUCAUUAUUGUUUCAUAUUUAUGUAAAUAUGAUGAUUUUGCUCAUUGAUAGAAACUUUUGGUCAACCCUUCCUAUGUCUGUCUUCUCAACAUUUCUGUUUUCACAGUAGAUGAGACAUGGCUAGCCUUGUAAGUGGACUUCUUAACGCAUAAAUGCAUUUGCUAAUGAGUUCCCGGAACAUGCUAAUGACAUUUUGUUCUGGAUCAUUUCCAAAAUGGUCUCGAGCAAACAAGCUCAUUUAAGAGGAGAAGGAGGAGGAGAGAGAGAGAGAGAAUGUUAGUUUAAUGGCAGGCAUUUAUUCAAUGGCUGUUAACUAAAAACGUUUGCACAUAAAUGUGAUUACUUGGGAAAUAGCAUCAGAGUCUGGUUGACUGACAUUGGAAAUUGAAAAUGGACUCCCUUGAAGUUCAAAGCUUUACCACAAAUCACAAGAAUCAUUAAUUACUCUACAUAGGAUUUUGGGAGUUGCUUGUUUCUAAAAUCUGCUGCCUUUAUGUUCUUGAAGCCUAAACAAGAGAAUCAGAGUCCCAGCAAGGAACUAAAAAAGUGAAUUUUGUUAAUUAAACCAAAAUGUAAACUGAAAGUCUGAAAGAAUGCCAAGAGUCCACCAUUUGUUGAUGAGGUAUGAUUUCUCUAUCUCAGCAGCCUACGAAGAUCAUGUAACUGUGAUGUGUUUGAUCCAAGUGGAUUAAAAUACUAGUCUGGCAUUUGAAAUAACUUUUGAAAAACACAGAGCUAUUAUAUUAUAGUUUUGCCAUCAUUUUCAAGAGAUGGAAUUGAUAUGUAUCAUAGAGUUUAUUUAUUUUAUUUUUAAAUUAUUAGAUCAUAUUUAAUAUAAGUCAAAUGAAUCAAAAUAGCAUAAUAAUUUGAAGAAUACAUCAACAAGCUCUUCUUUGGUGGUCAGAAUUUUAUAUCUCUCCUUUUCUCUCUGAACUUACAUUUUUACUUCCCAGUCCUCCCCCAAAUUUAAUCUUUUUCUUUUUUUCUUUGUAAAUUGACAAAUAAAAUUAUUGCAUGUAUUGUGUACAACUUUUUGAAGUACAUGUGCAUUGUGUA